AGCACUUGUGUGUGUUUUUGUUUAACUUUGGACAAAGACUUGUAGGCAAGCGAAAAAAGUAAAUCCUCUUUUGCAACCCAGAGCUCAUUGUUCAGUAUGAGUUUUGAUACAUGUAAGCAGGAAUACU
This is a small nucleolar RNA of Marmota marmota marmota (Alpine marmot), 127 nucleotides long. Lineage: Eukaryota; Metazoa; Chordata; Mammalia; Rodentia; Sciuridae. The record is from Ensembl.